This 305-nucleotide ribosomal RNA is filed under the name uncultured bacterium. Its description in RNAcentral is "bacterial SSU rRNA". It matches the Rfam family "Bacterial small subunit ribosomal RNA", at positions 333 to 634 of the family's 1533-position model. The record is from RNAcentral.
UUAAUCCUACGGGACGCAGCAGUGAGGAAUAUUGGUCAAUGGGCGCAAGCCUGAACCAGCCAAGUCGCGUGAGGGAAGACGGUCCUAUGGAUUGUAAACCUCUUUUGUCGGGGAGCAAAGCGCGGUACGAGUGCCGUGAAGGAGAGUACCCGAAGAAAAAGCAUCGGCUAAAUACGUGCCAGCAGCCGCGGUAAUACGUAUGGAGCAAGCGUUAUCCGGAUUUACUGGGUGUAAAGGGAGCGCAGACGGCAGGGCAAGUCUGAUGUGAAAGUCCGGGGCUCAACCCCGGGACUGCAUUGGAAACU